UGGGGAAUUUUGCACAAUGGGGGAAACCCUGAUGCAGCGACGCCGCGUGAUUUAGAAGGCCUUCGGGUUGUAAAAAUCUUUUCUAUGGGAAGAAAAUGACAGUACCAUAGGAAUAAGGACCGGCUAAUUACGUGCCAGCAGCCGCGGUAAUACGUAAGGUCCGAGCGUUGUCCGGAAUCAUUGGGCGUAAAGGGUACGUAGGCGGGUAUGCAAGUUAGAAGUGAAAUCCUAUAGCUCAACUAUAGUAAGCUUUUAAAACUGCUCAUCUUGAGGUAUGGAAGGGAAAGUGGAAUUCCUAGUGUAGCGGUGAAAUGCGCAGAUAUUAGGAGGAAUACCGGUGGCGAAGGCGACUUUCUGGCCAUAACCUGACGCUGAGGUACGAAAGCGUGGGUAGCAAACAGG
This 402-nucleotide ribosomal RNA is filed under the name bacterium. Its description in RNAcentral is "partial 16S ribosomal RNA". It matches the Rfam family "Bacterial small subunit ribosomal RNA", at positions 355 to 776 of the family's 1533-position model. The record is from RNAcentral.